This 873-nucleotide ribosomal RNA is filed under the name Gliocephalis hyalina. Its description in RNAcentral is "partial large subunit ribosomal RNA". Lineage: Eukaryota; Fungi; Ascomycota. The record is from RNAcentral.
GAAACCAACAGGGAUUGCCCCAGUAGCGGCGAGUGAAGCGGCAAMAGCUCAAAUUUGUAAUCUGGCUUUUUUUAAAGUCCGAGUUGUAAUUUGUARAGGAAACUUUGGUGCRGCCUUGGUCUAARUUCCKUGGAACAGGACAUCACAGAGGGUGAGAAUCCCGUAUGUGGCUAUAGGCUUUAACCAUGUAAAGUUCUUUCAACGAGUCGAGUUGUUUGGGAAUGCAGCUCUAAAUGGGAGGUAAAUUUCUUCUAAAGCUAAAUAUUGGCCAGAGACCGAUAGCGAACAAGUAGAGUGAUCGAAAGAUGAAAAGAACUUUGGAAAGAGAGUUAAACAGUAUGUGAAAUUGUUGAAAGGGAAGCGCUUGCAAUCAGACUWGUYKGCARDUGMUCRASCUKGYUUUUGUCMGGCSWACUYUUCUGUAUGCAGGCCAGCAUCAGUUWGGGUGGCAGGAAAAAGACCAAUGGAAUGUGGCUUCUUUUCUUUUGAAUUGAAGUGUUAUAGCCUUGGUGUCAUGCUGUCAACCUGGACUGAGGAUCGCGUCUUUGGACUAGGAUGCUGGCGUAAUGGUUGUAAGCGGCCCGUCUUGAAACACGGACCAAGGAGUCUAACAUCUGUGCGAGUGUUUGGGUGUCAAGCCCGCACGCGUAAUGAAAGUGAACGGAGGUGGGAACCUUUACGGUGCACCAUCGACCGAUCCUGAAGUCUUCUGAUGGAUUUGAGUAAGAGCACAGCUGUUGGGACCCGAAAGAUGGUGAACUAUGCCUGUGUAGGCUGAAGUCAGAGGAAACUCUGAUGGAAGGUCGCAGCGGUUCUGACGUGCAAAUCGAUCGUCAAACAUGGGUAUAGGGGCGAAAGACUAAUCGAACCAUC